Molecule: non-coding RNA, 148 nt
Filed under: Acidobacteriota bacterium
Lineage: Bacteria; Pseudomonadati; Acidobacteriota
Source: RNAcentral
UGACACUCCCGCGGGUGCGGCUUACACUCAAAAUUCAAUUUGCAGGCAGGGGAAGCGGGGAAGGCCGUGUGAAUCGGCCGCGGUCCCGCCACUGUGAUCGGCUCAAGAGCCGUAAGCCAGGCCACCCUUCCGUGCCGCAGAGGGCCGC